GAGUUUGAUCUUGGCUCAGGAUGAACGCUAGCGGCAGGCUUAACACAUGCAAGUCGAGGGGCAGCAAGGGUAGCAAUACCUGUUGGCGACCGGCAAACGGGUGCGGAACACGUACGCAAUUUACCUCUGUCUGGGAGAUAGCCCGGAGAAAUUCGGAUUAAUACCCCAUAAUAUAUUUAGGUGGCAUCAUUUGAAUAUUAAAGCUCAGGCGGACAGAGAUGAGCGUGCGUCCCAUUAGCUAGUUGGUAAGGUAAUGGCUUACCAAGGCGACGAUGGGUAGCUGGUGUGAGAGCACGACCAGCCACACGGGCACUGAGACACGGGCCCGACUCCUACGGGAGACAGCAGUGAGGAAUAUUGGUCAAUGGGCGCAAGCCUGAACCAGCCAUGCCGCGUGGAGGAUGAAGGCCUUCUGGGUUGUAAACUUCUUUUAUUGGGGAAGAAACCUCUGAUUUCUAUCGGAGCCGACGGUACCCAAGGAAUAAGCACCGGCUAACUCCGUGCCAGCAGCCGCC
RNAcentral lists this ribosomal RNA (515 nucleotides) under uncultured Sphingobacterium sp. Its description in RNAcentral is "bacterial SSU rRNA". It matches the Rfam family "Bacterial small subunit ribosomal RNA", at positions 9 to 519 of the family's 1533-position model. Lineage: Bacteria; Pseudomonadati; Bacteroidota; Sphingobacteriia; Sphingobacteriales; Sphingobacteriaceae. The record is from RNAcentral.